This is a long non-coding RNA of Dinoponera quadriceps, 186 nucleotides long. RefSeq lists it as uncharacterized. NCBI's taxonomy places the organism in Eukaryota, Metazoa, Arthropoda, Insecta, Hymenoptera, Formicidae. The record is from RefSeq and is a predicted model, not a curated record. The transcript is spliced from 2 exons.
UAUAAUUUUUGUUUCACCAUAGCUUCCACCACGUGAUACGACAGUUCUUCAUCUUAAGAAGACUAUGGAACGACACAUGUGUUUAUCUUUUGUAAGAGAAAACGUCCCGAAGGUUCCAUCACAUGACACGACAGUUUUUGAGAAAGCUAUUGAGCAACAUAUGUGUUUUGAAAGACAAAACGUCAA